UGGGGAAUAUUGGACAAUGGGCGAAAGCCUGAUCCAGCCAUGCCGCGUGUGUGAAGAAGGUCUUCGGAUUGUAAAGCACUUUAAGUUGGGAGGAAGGGCAGUAAGCUAAUACCUUGCUGUUUUGACGUUACCGACAGAAUAAGCACCGGCUAACUCUGUGCCAGCAGCCGCGGUAAUACAGAGGGUGCAAGCGUUAAUCGGAAUUACUGGGCGUAAAGCGCGCGUAGGUGGUUUGUUAAGUUGGAUGUGA
This 250-nucleotide ribosomal RNA is filed under the name uncultured bacterium. RNAcentral's name for it is "partial 16S ribosomal RNA". It matches the Rfam family "Bacterial small subunit ribosomal RNA", at positions 355 to 597 of the family's 1533-position model. The record is from RNAcentral.